RNAcentral lists this unclassified non-coding RNA (1967 nucleotides) under Pogonomyrmex barbatus (red harvester ant). RNAcentral's name for it is "zinc finger Ran-binding domain-containing protein 2, transcript variant X3". Lineage: Eukaryota; Metazoa; Arthropoda; Insecta; Hymenoptera; Formicidae. The record is from RNAcentral.
GAUGUCGGCACCGCUGCUACGCGUUCCGUGCGCGGUAGCCGCGAUACGCUGCGCCAGAUCCAGCUAGGGCCAAAGCCAAGCAGACACGGCCGGACUGGCCAGAGGCAGGCGGCACGUAGCCAGGCAUCACGGCGCGCUCGUCCGGUUCGCACGAUACUGGCGCACACACCGACGAAACCAUAUCCUAGGUAGUCGAGUCGAUGCCACGCGCCUUAAGCAUCGCCGCAGGGUAGAUUGGAGCCACUCGCGGUAUUGCACACCGCGGAAUGCGAUAGCCGUGAUAGCGGAUCGACGGUGGCUGCGGUGUGGGUGGUACGGUAGUGUUGUAAAGUCGCGACACGUCCCUCGUCGCCACGCACAAAAUCGAGCUAGUCGAGGUUAGGUGUUAGGAUUUUCGCGCAGCGCAGUGGAGCGGAGCUCGGAAUCGCGAAACGCGGAAUCGGUUUGCGCGGGGAUUAACGGAGACACGGCGACGAACACCCGGACGGGCGGGAUGGAUGGCAAGGUCGACGACGAGAAUCAGCGCGGCGUCAACGACGGCGACUGGGUCUGUCCUGACUCGCAAUGUGCCAAUAUAAACUUUGCCAGACGUAAUUCCUGCAAUCGCUGUGGAAAAGAUAGAGGUGAAUGCCCAAAGAAGAAAAAGUUGGGUCAGGAAAUUGGAAAAGCAGCUGCAGAGAAAAGUAGAGGCCUUUUUAGCGCGGACGAUUGGCAAUGUAGUAAGUGCGGUAACGUAAACUGGGCACGACGGCAACAAUGUAAUAUGUGCAACGCCCCAAAAUUUGGUGAGAUAGAGGAACGUACGGGAUAUGGAGGUGGAUAUAAUGAUCGAGGUGUAGUCGAAUACAAGGAGAGGCGAGAUGAGGACGAUGAAUAUGACGAGUUUGGGCGACGCAAAAAAAAGCGAAAACUAGAAAAGAAUUCCGACGAUGAUUCAAAGGAUUCCAAGUACAGCAGCCCAUCGCGUAGUAAAUCUAGAGACAAGGAAGAGAGGGAUGAGGUAGACGAGGAGGAGCAGGAAGAAAAUCGUCGAUUAAAAUCAGCUUCGCGGAUACUUAAUUGGUAUCAUGAACCACAGGAGGAGGAAGAGGAAGAUGACGAGGAAGAAGAGGAAGAGGAGGAUGAGGAGGAAGAGGAUGGUGAUUUAUCUAAAUACGAUCUUAGCGAAUGGGAUGAUUUUGCACCAGCGAAAAAAAGUACGAACGGAAGUAAUAUAUCCUCGGAAGCGCAACGGUCAAGAAAUGGAGAUGAUCGGCGCGAUUCAGGCACAUCCAAUCAAUGAAAGGCUGUACAGAAGGACAGGUUUGACAUGGGUUUCGGGUAUAAAAUUGAUUAUGAUGAUCAGUUGCAGACAGCAUACAGUGUGAUGAAUUUUGCUAAAUAAUGUGAACCAGGAGACUCAAAAGGAAACACAACCAGUGCUCGCGGCAACUAAGAAAUACACAACGCAACAGGUUUUAGUAAUUUAGUAUGUACCUUUGAAUAUAAAGUGGCCGAUAAUGCGUGACUUAUUACAAAGAGAAAUCGACUAACAAUAAAGGUGCAAUUUCAUGCAGCGAAGCAAAGCUAGCUUUUAUCUCCACUUCACCUCAAUGCAAAACAGCGUAAAGACUUUAAAACAUUUGUAGUGUCAAAUGUGCCGUAGCUAAAAAAUUAUUUAAAAAAUUAAAAAGCAAUUUAAAAAAAAAUUAUGGCCAGUAUUCAUAGUCCAUUCUUAUAUUUAAGAUCGUCUUAAGUAAGCUUAGACGGUUAUAUUAUUGGUUGAAAUAUAAUCUUAAGACGACCUUAAAUAUAAGAACUGACUAUGAAUAUCGCCCUAAAUGUCUUAUUUUGUAUUUUAAAAAUAAAUUAUAAUAGCACAUCGAAUACAUGGAGCAAUAUAGAUGUAUAGUGGCAACCACAGUUGUAGUAGAGAUUAGGAGACGACACAUAAUCGCUGUACUUGCUACGAUACAUUUAUUGAGAAA